RNAcentral lists this ribosomal RNA (960 nucleotides) under Salmonella enterica. Its description in RNAcentral is "partial 23S ribosomal RNA". It matches the Rfam family "Bacterial large subunit ribosomal RNA", at positions 711 to 1668 of the family's 2925-position model. Lineage: Bacteria; Pseudomonadati; Pseudomonadota; Gammaproteobacteria; Enterobacterales; Enterobacteriaceae. RNAcentral also lists the same sequence under 1 other name. The record is from RNAcentral.
AGACCCGAAACCCGGUGAUCUAGCCAUGGGCAGGUUGAAGGUUGGGUAACACUAACUGGAGGACCGAACCGACUAAUGUUGAAAAAUUAGCGGAUGACCUGUGGCUGGGGGUGAAAGGCCAAUCAAACCGGGAGAUAGCUGGUUCUCCCCGAAAGCUAUUUAGGUAGCGCCUCGUGAAUUCAUCUCCGGGGGUAGAGCACUGUUUCGGCUAGGGGGCCAUCCCGGCUUACCAACCCGAUGCAAACUGCGAAUACCGGAGAAUGUUAUCACGGGAGACACACGGCGGGUGCUAACGUCCGUCGUGAAGAGGGAAACAACCCAGACCGCCAGCUAAGGUCCCAAAGUCAUGGUUAAGUGGGAAACGAUGUGGGAAGGCCCAGACAGCCAGGAUGUUGGCUUAGAAGCAGCCAUCAUUUAAAGAAAGCGUAAUAGCUCACUGGUCGAGUCGGCCUGCGCGGAAGAUGUAACGGGGCUAAACCAUGCACCGAAGCUGCGGCAGCGACGCUUAUGCGUUGUUGGGUAGGGGAGCGUUCUGUAAGCCUGUGAAGGUGGCCUGUGAGGGUUGCUGGAGGUAUCAGAAGUGCGAAUGCUGACAUAAGUAACGAUAAAGCGGGUGAAAAGCCCGCUCGCCGGAAGACCAAGGGUUCCUGUCCAACGUUAAUCGGGGCAGGGUGAGUCGACCCCUAAGGCGAGGCCGAAAGGCGUAGUCGAUGGGAAACAGGUUAAUAUUCCUGUACUUGGUGUUACUGCGAAGGGGGGACGGAGAAGGCUAUGUUGGCCGGGCGACGGUUGUCCCGGUUUAAGCGUGUAGGUGUGUGUUCCAGGUAAAUCCGGUUCACUUUAACACUGAGGCGUGAUGACGAGGCACUACGGUGCUGAAGCAACAAAUGCCCUGCUUCCAGGAAAAGCCUCUAAGCAUCAGGUAACAUCAAAUCGUACCCCAAACCGACACAGGUGGUC